RNAcentral lists this unclassified non-coding RNA (31 nucleotides) under Mus musculus (house mouse). RNAcentral describes it as "oocyte_clustered_small_RNA10636". The record is from RNAcentral. Lineage: Eukaryota; Metazoa; Chordata; Mammalia; Rodentia; Muridae.
ACAGCCUCUUGGCGGAGAUCGGGCGCGGCAG